GUCAAUCAUAAAUAAUAGACCCAUUAUCAUUCACCUUAAUGGGAGGCUACGAUCUAGUUAUCACCAUAACUAGCUCAUUUUAGGAACCUAAUAAUUUAGAGGAUUUAAUCGAUUUAGAUAAGAGAAGAAAAGAUCAAUCAGUAUACCACAAUCCUCUCACUGACUUCACCAAGUCACUAAAUCGGAUUAGGUCAUGCUGAUUGAAUUGGCACC
Molecule: long non-coding RNA, 213 nt
Filed under: Elaeis guineensis (African oil palm)
Lineage: Eukaryota; Viridiplantae; Streptophyta; Magnoliopsida; Arecales; Arecaceae
Description: long non-coding RNA (EGUI_LNC067391)
Source: RNAcentral